This 465-nucleotide ribosomal RNA is filed under the name Vreelandella stevensii. RNAcentral describes it as "partial 16S ribosomal RNA". It matches the Rfam family "Bacterial small subunit ribosomal RNA", at positions 338 to 795 of the family's 1533-position model. The record is from RNAcentral. Lineage: Bacteria; Pseudomonadati; Pseudomonadota; Gammaproteobacteria; Oceanospirillales; Halomonadaceae.
CCUACGGGAGGCAGCAGUGGGGAAUAUUGGACAAUGGGGGGAACCCUGAUCCAGCCAUGCCGCGUGUGUGAAGAAGGCCCUCGGGUUGUAAAGCACUUUCAGUGAGGAAGAACGCCUGGUGGUUAAUACCCAUCAGGAAAGACAUCACUCACAGAAGAAGCACCGGCUAACUCCGUGCCAGCAGCCGCGGUAAUACGGAGGGUGCGAGCGUUAAUCGGAAUUACUGGGCGUAAAGCGCGCGUAGGUGGCUUGAUAAGCCGGUUGUGAAAGCCCCGGGCUCAACCUGGGAACGGCAUCCGGAACAGUCAAGCUAGAGUGCAGGAGAGGAAGGUAGAAUUCCCGGUGUAGCGGUGAAAUGCGUAGAGAUCGGGAGGAAUACCAGUGGCGAAGGCGGCCUUCUGGACUGACACUGACACUGAGGUGCGAAAGCGUGGGUAGCAAACAGGAUUAGAUACCCUGGUAGUC